This 88-nucleotide transfer RNA is filed under the name Bacteroidales bacterium. RNAcentral describes it as "tRNA-Ser". It matches the Rfam family "tRNA". From Rfam's summary of the family: Transfer RNA (tRNA) molecules are approximately 80 nucleotides in length. Their secondary structure includes four short double-helical elements and three loops (D, anti-codon, and T loops). Lineage: Bacteria; Pseudomonadati; Bacteroidota; Bacteroidia; Bacteroidales. The record is from RNAcentral.
GGAAGAUUGGCCGAGCUGGUCGAUGGCACCGGUCCUGAAAACCGGAAGGCCCGGAAGGGUCUCGUGGGUUCGAAUCCUACAUCUUCCG